This 209-nucleotide ribosomal RNA is filed under the name uncultured bacterium. RNAcentral's name for it is "partial 16S ribosomal RNA". It matches the Rfam family "Bacterial small subunit ribosomal RNA", at positions 567 to 775 of the family's 1533-position model. The record is from RNAcentral.
GGACGUAGGCGGAAAUAUAAGUCAGCCGUGAAAUCCCGGGGCUCAACCCCGGAACUGCGUUUGAAACUAUAUUUCUUGAGGCAAGGCGGAGAAAACGGAAUUCCACAAGUAGCGGUGAAAUGCGUAGAUAUGUGGAAGAACACCAGUGGCGAAGGCGGUUUUCUAGCUUUGACCUGACGCUGAUGCCCGAAAGCUAGGGGAGCGAAACA